RNAcentral lists this signal recognition particle RNA (264 nucleotides) under delta proteobacterium NaphS2. Its description in RNAcentral is "Bacterial large signal recognition particle RNA". It matches the Rfam family "Bacterial large signal recognition particle RNA". From Rfam's summary of the family: The signal recognition particle (SRP) is a universally conserved ribonucleoprotein involved in the co-translational targeting of proteins to membranes. Archaeal SRP consists of a 7S RNA and homologues of the eukaryotic SRP19 and SRP54 proteins. In most bacteria, the SRP consists of a 4.5S RNA and the Ffh protein (a homologue of the eukaryotic SRP54 protein). Lineage: Bacteria; Deltaproteobacteria. The record is from Rfam by way of RNAcentral.
UCGCGCUAGACGGGGAGUUAGCGGUGCCCCUUAACCCGAAAUCCGCUUAUGCGGGGUUGAAAAUCCUUCUGGAAAUUCCUGGUUCGAACUGCAUUUUCAACACCUUGGGGUUGAUAUGGACCUCACGUAACAGGCGCUUAUAAACCCCGUCAGGUCCGGAAGGAAGCAGCGGUAAGUAAGAAAGUCUGUGUCGUCGAGUGAAUCUAUAUGGUUUCUCCGGGUGGCGAAGGCAUAUCGUUCAGGUUUCGAAAAAAGGUUGCGCGG